CGCUGCGGCCUUUCCCCAUCCCGGACCCGGCACUUCUCGGGUUCUGCGACUGCCGCUCGCCCCGGCGCGGCACCGCUCCCUCAAGAGUCGCCUAGGCCGCGCAGUCUCCCGACUUCUCGUCAGGCUUUCGCGCCGGCGCUCCAGCAAUCACUGGCUGGAGAAGGUGGGCGUUCCGGCUCGGGAGGACCCUGCCGCGGCCCCGGAAGAGCCUCGUCCUGGGCGGCGGUGGUGCGGCGGUCGCCGUUAUGGCCACCGGGCUGGGAGGCUGACCGCCGGGCUAGGAGAGGGCCCAGGGCCCCGAAUCUCGGUGGCCGCUGCUCGAGCGCGGCCUGCACCAUGGCCUCCUCCGCCGCCUCCUCGGAGCAUUUCGAGAAGCUGCACGAGAUCUUCCGCGGCCUCCAUGAAGACCUACAAGGGGUGCCCGAGCGGCUGCUGGGGACGGCGGGGACCGAAGAGAAGAAGAAAUUGAUCAGGGAUUUUGAUGAAAAGCAACAGGAAGCAAAUGAAACGCUGGCAGAGAUGGAGGAGGAGCUACGUUAUGCACCCCUGUCUUUCCGAAACCCCAUGAUGUCUAAGCUUCGAAGCUACCGGAAGGACCUUGCUAAACUCCAUCGGGAGGUGAGAAGCACACCUUUGACAGCCACACCUGGAGGCCGAGGAGACAUGAAAUAUGGCAUAUAUGCUGUAGAGAAUGAGCAUAUGAAUCGGCUACAGUCUCAAAGGGCAAUGCUUCUGCAAGGCACUGAAAGCCUGAACCGGGCCACCCAAAGUAUUGAACGUUCUCAUCGGAUUGCCACAGAGACUGACCAGAUUGGCUCAGAAAUCAUAGAAGAGCUGGGGGAACAACGAGACCAGUUAGAACGUACCAAGAGUAGACUGGUAAACACAAGUGAAAGCUUGAGCAAAAGUCGAAAGAUUCUCCGUUCAGUGUCCAGAAAAGUGACAACCAACAAGCUGCUGCUUUCCAUUAUCAUCUUACUGGAGCUCGCCAUCCUGGGAGGCCUGGUUUACUACAAAUUCUUUCGCAGCCAUUGAACUUCUAUAGGGAAGGGUUUGUGGACCAGAACUUUGACCUUGUGAAUGCAUGAUGUUAGGGAUGUGGAUAGAAUAAGCUUAUUGCUGCUGUGGGCUAACAGUUCAGGGAUGCACUGUAUAGCCAGACUGUGGGAGGAGGGAGGAAAGAUGGAAAACCACUUAAAUGUGAAGGAACAGCAACAAGACCAGUAUGAUAUACCAAGGUAAUAAAUGCUGUUUAUGACUUCUUUAAAUUUACAUAGUACUGUAGCAUAUUAAUACCCUGUGAACUGCAAAAAACCAAAUACAUUUACAGUAGUAUUGGUCACCAAAAUAGAGGGGAAACUUUACAAUUGUGAGAAUGUGUAAAUGUUCUCAUUAAGGCAGUAUUGACCCAGACAACCAUUUAGUAUCCAUGUAUCCCCUCAAUGCCUCAUAAUUCUGGAAUGCCCAUUGUGAAACAUGUCAGUGCACAGUGUCUCCUAAAUUCUCACAUGUGCUUGAUUUCCUGAUUCAUCUGGUGAACUGGGAGUAGGAAGCUGGUCAUAGACAAUAUGCCCUCCUUCUCUUGUCUGACCAAAACUUGAAGCAAUUACAUCCACUGCCAGGUUAGCUGUAGUCUUCGCCUCUUCCUCUGAGGUGGCCAACUGAGGAUUGACUUCAACAAGAUCCAGUGCCGAUAGCAACCCUGGAAGAACAAAGUGUGACAAAACCUCAGAUUCCCUUGCUGCUCCUCUCAGUGAGGGUCAUCCCACUGGGACAGGGAGAACAAGCCAAGCCCCAGUGUCCAAAGGCUGAAGCUAACAACUAAGUUUCUUAACAGCUUACGAAAUGACGUACUACCAGAUAACAAUUCUGACAUUAAUCACCCAGAAGUAAAGACUUGGUAUUGGGAAAAUGCUCUUAAAACUACCAUUUGAUUAGUAUUCAUCUGCCAUCUUUCUACACUGCCAAGAUUUGCUUAACAUAAAACUCAGAUGAAACAAUCGUGAGCCUGGGAAGAAUGGGACAGUUGAAACAAUAAAUCCUUGUCAUCUCAGAAGAUAAGCAUUAAAGAUGGAGAUAAAGAAAAAUUCAUGAGACAGAAGAUCUAGGCAAUGAUUUAGAGGAAACCUCCUCCCAAAAACCCAGAGGAAGAAUAUGACCUGUGUUUCAUAUUUUGCCUUUCUGAACUAUUUAAAAUUAUGUGUAUGUUUUUGCUUUGUAUUUUAAAAGUAAAGCUGCUGUCCUCAA
RNA transcript from Nomascus leucogenys (northern white-cheeked gibbon), 2247 nucleotides. It is a transcript of the gene named vesicle transport through interaction with t-SNAREs 1B, with no coding region annotated. NCBI's taxonomy places the organism in Eukaryota, Metazoa, Chordata, Mammalia, Primates, Hylobatidae. The transcript is spliced from 7 exons. The record is from RefSeq and is a predicted model, not a curated record.